RNAcentral lists this ribosomal RNA (254 nucleotides) under uncultured bacterium. RNAcentral's name for it is "partial 16S ribosomal RNA". It matches the Rfam family "Bacterial small subunit ribosomal RNA", at positions 524 to 776 of the family's 1533-position model. The record is from RNAcentral.
UACGUAGGGUGCGAGCGUUGUCCGGAAUUAUUGGGCGUAAAGAGCUCGUAGGCGGUCUGUCGCGUCGGUCGUGAAAACUUGGGGCUUAACCCUGAGCUUGCGGUCGAUACGGGCAUGACUGGAGUUCGGCAGGGGAGACUGGAAUUCCUGGUGUAGCGGUGAAAUGCGCAGAUAUCAGGAGGAACACCGGUGGCGAAGGCGGCAUCCUGGACCAACACUGACGCUGAGGAGCGAAAGCCAGGGGAGCAAACGGG